This 434-nucleotide ribosomal RNA is filed under the name uncultured bacterium. RNAcentral's name for it is "bacterial SSU rRNA". It matches the Rfam family "Bacterial small subunit ribosomal RNA", at positions 28 to 507 of the family's 1533-position model. The record is from RNAcentral.
AGACGAACGCUGGCGGCAGGCCUAACACAUGCAAGUCGAACGAACUCUUCGGAGUUAGUGGCGGACGGGUGAGUAACACGUGGGAACGUGCCUUUAGGUUCGGAAUAACUCAGGGAAACUUGUGCUAAUACCGAAUGUGCCCUUCGGGGGAAAGAUUUAUCGCCUUUAGAGCGGCCCGCGUCUGAUUAGCUAGUUGGUGAGGUAAAGGCUCACCAAGGCGACGAUCAGUAGCUGGUCUGAGAGGAUGAUCAGCCACAUUGGGACUGAGACACGGCCCAAACUCCUACGGGAGGCAGCAGUGGGGAAUCUUGCGCAAUGGGCGAAAGCCUGACGCAGCCAUGCCGCGUGAAUGAUGAAGGUCUUAGGAUUGUAAAAUUCUUUCACCGGGGACGAUAAUGACGGUACCCGGAGAAGAAGCCCCGGCUAACUUCGUG